AUUCAUGCCAUCGGCAUAGGGGCUGUAUCAUGCUGAUAUUUUGUUAGCACGAUACAGCACCAUAGAUAAGACUCGUACCGAUUGGUAAGAAUGUAAAACAGGCCGGGCAGCCCAUCGUCAUCCGGGUUACUUUCAUUUCCGCUUUUAGUAAUCUAAAUAAAUAAAUAGUUCAGUUAGAUGAUCAUAUUUGAUGUUUGAAUAUUGUGAACUAUUUGAGUUGGUUUUCCAUUGCAUGCGACGAGAGUUUAUGGAUUUGUGGUUUUGGUUUUAUGAAAAGUUGGUUCUCAUAUUUAUGUAUUUACACAUUGUGGUUUUCUACUCCUUGAGGUAGCUGGCUUUCAAAAAAAAGUUUUCGUAUGGGAAACAGUUUUAAAAAGAUUUUUGAAUGGUUUUUGUAAAUGAUUGAAUUAGAGUUUAAAAACAAAGCUUUCGGAUGGAGAGCACUUUUAACUAGGAUGCUUGUUGUACUGUGCAUUGCAUCAUCCAGCGCUAAGGAGUGUUUAGAGGCAUGCAUCAUUCUUAAGGAUCGCUAGCUGUAUGGAAAUGCAUGGCAUGAACUGAUUGUUGAUUGGUAGAUGUAGGUUGUGGUUGAGAUUCUGAUAUUUCGUUGGUACGCCGUGCAAAUACAAAGAAGACUCUGUCCGAGUGGAUAGAGGAACUUUGUAUUUAUGGCGGGUCUGUACAUCAUGUGUGCCAGGUUGAACAAAAAAAAAGGC
Molecule: long non-coding RNA, 716 nt
Filed under: Ananas comosus (pineapple)
Lineage: Eukaryota; Viridiplantae; Streptophyta; Magnoliopsida; Poales; Bromeliaceae
Description: long non-coding RNA (ACOM_LNC018182)
Source: RNAcentral